GAACGCUGGCGGCAUGCUUUACACAUGCAAGUCGAACGGUAACGCGGGGGGUAACCCCUGGCGACGAGUGGCGAACGGGUGAGUAAUACAUCGGAACAUGUCCUGGAGUGGGGGAUAGCUCGGCGAAAGCCGGAUUAAUACCGCAUACGCUCCGAGGAGGAAAGCGGGGGAUCCGCAAGGACCUCGCGCUGCGGGAGUGGCCGAUGUCGGAUUAGCUAGUUGGUGAGGUAAAGGCUCACCAAGGCGACGAUCCGUAGCUGGUCUGAGAGGAUGAUCAGCCACACUGGGACUGAGACACGGCCCAGACUCCUACGGGAGGCAGCAGUGGGGAAUUUUGGACAAUGGGGGCAACCCUGAUCCAGCCAUGCCGCGUGAGUGAAGAAGGCCUUCGGGUUGUAAAGCUCUUUCGGACGGGACGAAAUGGUUAGCGUGAAUAACGCUGACUGAUGACGGUACCGUAAUAAGAAGCACCGGCUAACUACGUGCCAGCAGCCGCGGUAAUACGUAGGGUGCGAGCGUUAAUCGGAAUUACUGGGCGUAAAGCGUGCGCAGGCGGUUCGCCAAGUCAGGUGUGAAAUCCCCGGGCUUAACCUGGGAAUUGCGCUUGAAACUAGCGGGCUUGAGUGUGGCAGAGGGGGGUGGAAUUCCACGUGUAGCAGUGAAAUGCGUAGAGAUGUGGAGGAACACCGAUGGCGAAGGCAGCCCCCUGGGUCAACACUGACGCUCAUGCACGAAAGCGUGGGGA
This 745-nucleotide ribosomal RNA is filed under the name uncultured soil bacterium. Its description in RNAcentral is "bacterial SSU rRNA". It matches the Rfam family "Bacterial small subunit ribosomal RNA", at positions 31 to 767 of the family's 1533-position model. The record is from RNAcentral.